RNAcentral lists this ribosomal RNA (626 nucleotides) under uncultured archaeon. RNAcentral describes it as "bacterial SSU rRNA". It matches the Rfam family "Archaeal small subunit ribosomal RNA", at positions 102 to 711 of the family's 1478-position model. The record is from RNAcentral.
GGUCAACCUACCCUGCGGACGGCCAUAACCCCGGGAAACUGGGGCUAAUGGCCGGCAAGAGAUGGGUGCUGGAACGCCCCGUCUCUGAAAGGCCCAACUACCCAUGCUGUGGUUGGGUGCCGCAGGAUGGGACCGCGUCCGAUCAGGUAGACGGUGGGGUAACGGCCCACCGUGCCGAUAACCGGUACGGGCCCUGGGAGGGGGAGCCCGGAGAUGGGCACUGAGACAAGGGCCCAGGCCCUACGGGGCGCAACAGGCGCGAAACCUCCGCUAUGCGCGAAAGCGCGACGGGGUCACUCCGAGUGCCGACCGCUGAGGUCGGCUUUUGCCCAGUCCAAAAGGCUGGGCGAAUAAGGGGAGGGCAAGUUUGGUGUCAGCCGCCGCGGUAAUACCAACUCCCCGAGUGGUCGGGACGAUUACUGGGCUUAAAGCGUCCGUAGCCGGCUUGGUAAGUCUCCGGUUAAAUCCGGCGUCUCAAGCGCCGGGCCGCCGGAGAUACUGCCAAGCUAGGGAGCGGGAGAGGCGGGCGGUAUUCCCUGGGUAGGGGUAAAAUCCUCAGAUCCAGGGAGGACCAUCAGUGGCGAAGGCGGCCCGCUAGAACGCGUCCGACGGUGAGGGACGAAAGC